RNAcentral lists this ribosomal RNA (254 nucleotides) under uncultured bacterium. RNAcentral describes it as "partial 16S ribosomal RNA". It matches the Rfam family "Bacterial small subunit ribosomal RNA", at positions 524 to 776 of the family's 1533-position model. The record is from RNAcentral.
UACGGGGGGGGCAAGCGUUGUUCGGAAUUACUGGGCGUAAAGGGCUCGUAGGUGGCCAACUAAGUCAGACGUGAAAUCCCUCGGCUUAACCGGGGAACUGCGUCUGAUACUGGAUGGCUUGAGUGUGGGAGAGGGAUGCGGAAUUCCAGGUGUAGCGGUGAAAUGCGUAGAUAUCUGGAGGAACACCGGUGGCGAAGGCGGCAUCCUGGACCACGACUGACGCUGAGUGAGCGAAAGCCAGGGGAGCAAAAGGG